RNAcentral lists this ribosomal RNA (466 nucleotides) under Vreelandella stevensii. Its description in RNAcentral is "partial 16S ribosomal RNA". It matches the Rfam family "Bacterial small subunit ribosomal RNA", at positions 338 to 795 of the family's 1533-position model. The record is from RNAcentral. Lineage: Bacteria; Pseudomonadati; Pseudomonadota; Gammaproteobacteria; Oceanospirillales; Halomonadaceae.
CCUACGGGAGGCAGCAGUGGGGAAUAUUGGACAAUGGGGGGAACCCUGAUCCAGCCAGGCCGCGGGUGUGAAGAAGGCCCUCGGGUGGUAAAGCACUUUCAGUGGGGAAGAACGCCUGGUGGUUAAUACCCAUCAGGAAGGACAUCACUCACAAAAAAACCCCCGGCUAACUCCGUGCCAGCAGCCGCGGUAAUACGGAGGGUGCGAGCGUUAAUCGGAAUUACUGGGCGUAAAGCGCGCGUAGGUGGCUUGAUAAGCCGGUUUGUGAAAGCCCCGGGCUCAACCUGGGAACGGCAUCCGGAACUGUCAAGCUAGAGUGCAGGAGAGGAAGGUAGAAUUCCCGGUGUAGCGGUGAAAUGCGUAGAGAUCGGGAGGAAUACCAGUGGCGAAGGCGGCCUUCUGGACUGACACUGACACUGAGGUGCGAAAGCGUGGGUAGCAAACAGGAUUAGAUACCCCAGUAGUC